This 490-nucleotide ribosomal RNA is filed under the name uncultured bacterium. RNAcentral describes it as "bacterial SSU rRNA". It matches the Rfam family "Bacterial small subunit ribosomal RNA", at positions 66 to 532 of the family's 1533-position model. The record is from RNAcentral.
ACGUGAAAGGGGAGCAAUCCCCCGGUAGGGUGGCAAACGGGUGAGUAAUACAUGGGUGAUCUACCUUAGGGAUGGGGAUAUCCUUCCGAAAGGAGGGGCAAUACCGAAUAUUGUCCGGAGCCGUGAAGGGUUCCGGGGAAAGGGAGGCCUCUGAUACAAGCUUUCGCCUUAAGAUGAGCCCAUGGCCCAUCAGCUAGUUGGUAGGGUAAAGGCCUACCAAGGCUACGACGGGUCGCUGGUCUGAGAGGACGACCAGCCACACUGGCACUGAGAUACGGGCCAGACUCCUACGGGAGGCAGCAGUGAGGAAUAUUGCGCAAUGGGGGAAACCCUGACGCAGCAACGCCGCGUGUGGGAAGAAGGCCUUCGGGGUCGUAAACCACUUUUGCACGGGACGAAAAAGGGGNUAUCGAACAAAUAUCCCCGAUGACGGUACCGUGAGAAUAAGCCACGGCUAACUCUGUGCCAGCAGCCGCGGUAAGACAGAGGU